UGUGACCUCAAAUCAGGUAGGACUACCCGCUGAACUUAAGCAUAUCAAUAAGCGGAGGAAAAGAAACUAACAAGGAUUCCCCUAGUAACUGCGAGUGAAGCGGGAAAAGCUCAAAUUUAAAAUCUGGCGGUCCUUUGGCUGUCCGAGUUGUAAUCUAGAGAAGUGUUAUCCGCGCUGGACCGUGUACAAGUCUCCUGGAAUGGAGCAUCAUAGAGGGUGAGAAUCCCGUCUUUGACAUGGACUGCCAGGGCUUUGUGAUGCGCUCUCAAAGAGUCGAGUUGUUUGGGAAUGCAGCUCAAAAUGGGUGGUAAAUUCCAUCUAAAGCUAAAUAUUGGCGAGAGACCGAUAGCGAACAAGUACCGUGAGGGAAAGAUGAAAAGAACUUUGGAAAGAGAGUUAAACAGUACGUGAAAUUGCUGAAAGGGAAACGCUUGAAGUCAGUCGCGUCGUCCAGGGAUCAACCUUGCUUUUGCUUGGUGCACUUUCUGGUUUGACGGGUCAGCAUCAAUUUUGACUGUUGGAAAAAGGCUGAGGGAAUGUGGCAUCUUUGGAUGUGUUAUAGCCCUUGGUCACAUACAAUGGUUGGGAUUGAGGAACUCAGCACGCCGCAAGGCCGGG
Molecule: ribosomal RNA, 618 nt
Filed under: Cortinarius ferrugineovelatus
Lineage: Eukaryota; Fungi; Basidiomycota; Agaricomycetes; Agaricales; Cortinariaceae
Description: eukaryotic LSU rRNA
Rfam family: Eukaryotic large subunit ribosomal RNA
Source: RNAcentral